This 208-nucleotide long non-coding RNA is filed under the name Lathyrus oleraceus (garden pea). RNAcentral describes it as "Pisum sativum (pea) long non-coding RNA (PSAT_LNC002596)". The record is from RNAcentral. Lineage: Eukaryota; Viridiplantae; Streptophyta; Magnoliopsida; Fabales; Fabaceae.
CGACAUCGAAAGAUGAUGUUUACCGACAUCAAAAAAGGACGAUCAGACAUUUACCGAUAACUGGGACGAGACUCGAUGUUUACCGACAUCGAAAGAUGAUGUUUACCGACAUCAAAAAUAGAUGACCAGACAUUUACCGAUGACUGGGAAAGAACUCGAUGUUUACCGACAUCGAACGAUGAUGUUUACCGACACCAAAGAAAGAACA